RNAcentral lists this ribosomal RNA (253 nucleotides) under uncultured bacterium. RNAcentral describes it as "partial 16S ribosomal RNA". It matches the Rfam family "Bacterial small subunit ribosomal RNA", at positions 524 to 776 of the family's 1533-position model. The record is from RNAcentral.
UACGGGGGGAGCAAGCGUUGUUCGGAUUUACUGGGCGUAAAGGGCGCGUAGGCGGCGUGACAAGUCACUUGUGAAAUCUCCGGGCUUAACCCGGAGCGGCCAAGUGAUACUGUCGUGCUAGAGUGCGGAAGGGGCUACUGGAAUUCUCGGUGUAGCGGUGAAAUUCGUAGAUAUUCGCAAGAACACCAGUGGCGAAGGCGGCCAACUGGGCCAUUACUGACGCUGAGGCGCGAAAGCGUGGGGAGCAAACAGG